CGCAGACAACCCUCCCUCGCAGGUCUACACGGGCUACAAAGAAGUGCUGCUGUACUUCAACUCGAACGACGACAGGCAGAACCAAGGCUUCGUAGUCAAAUUCACGCCGAAGGACAAGAGGAAAUGGAUUUACUCCAAUGCUGAACUCGAACCGGAGUGCACGUGCGCGAACAACCUUCCCAACCAAAUCAGAAAGUUCUUCAGGCAAAGGAACAAGAACAAGAAGAACAAGAACAAGAACACGACCCUCCGCCGCGUAAAGAGAGAGGAAAAGAA
Molecule: non-coding RNA, 276 nt
Organism: Penaeus vannamei (Pacific white shrimp)
Lineage: Eukaryota; Metazoa; Arthropoda; Malacostraca; Decapoda; Penaeidae
Source: RefSeq, a predicted model, not a curated record